UUUUUAGCUAGAGUAUGAUAGAGGAAAGCAGAAUUUUUAGUGUAGAGGUGAAAUUCGUAGAUAUUAGAAAGAAUACCAAUUGCGAAGGCAGCUUUCUGGAUCAUUACUGACACUGAGGAACGAAAGCAUGGGUAGCGAAGAGGAUUAGAUACCCUCGUAGUCCAUGCCGUAAACGAUGUGUGUUAGACGUUGGAAAUUUAUUUUCUGUGUCGCAGCGAAAGCAAUAAACACACCGCCUGGGGAGUACGACCGCAAGGUUAAAACUCAAAUGAAUUGACGGGGACCCGCACAAGUAGUGGAGCAUGUGGUUUAAUUCGAAGAUACGCGCAGAACCUUACCAACACUUGACAUGUUCGUCGCGACUUUAAGAGAUUAAAGUUUUCGGUUCGGCCGGACGAAACACAGGUGCUGCAUGGCUGUCGUCAGCUCGUGUCGUGAGAUGUUGGGUUAAGUCCCGCAACGAGCGCAACCCUCACUUUUAGUUGCCAUCAUUUAGUUGGGCACUCUGAAAGAACUGCCAGUGAUAAGCUGGAGGAAGGUGGGGAUGACGUCAAGUCCUCAUGGCCCUUACGUGUUGGGCUACACACGUGCUACAAUGGCAUUUACAAUAGGAAGCAAGACGGCGACGUUUAGCAAAUCCUAAAAAAAUGCCUCAGUUCGGAUUGUACUCUGCAACUCGAGUACAUGAAGCUGGAAUUACUAGUAAUCGCGGAUCAGCGCGCCGCGGUGAAUACGUUCCCGGGUCUUGUACACACCGCCCGUCACACCAUGGGAGUUGGUUCUACCUUAAGGCAAAGUUUAAUACCUUUGACCACGGUAUAGUCAGCGACUGGGGUGAAGUCGUAACAAGGUAGCCGUAGGGGAACCUGCGGCUG
This 875-nucleotide ribosomal RNA is filed under the name marine metagenome. Its description in RNAcentral is "bacterial SSU rRNA". It matches the Rfam family "Bacterial small subunit ribosomal RNA", at positions 634 to 1520 of the family's 1533-position model. The record is from RNAcentral.